RNAcentral lists this ribosomal RNA (497 nucleotides) under uncultured bacterium. RNAcentral's name for it is "partial 16S ribosomal RNA". It matches the Rfam family "Bacterial small subunit ribosomal RNA", at positions 28 to 507 of the family's 1533-position model. The record is from RNAcentral.
GACGAACGCUGGCGGCGUGCCUAAUACAUGCAAGUUGAGCGCUGAAGGUUGGUACUUGUCCCAACUGGAUGAGCAGCGAACGGGUGAGUAACGCGUGGGGAAUCUGCCUUUGAGCGGGGGACAACAUUUGGAAACGAAUGCUAAUACCGCAUAAAAACUUUAAACACAAGUUUUAAGUUUGAAAGAUGCAAUUGCAUCACUCAAAGAUGAUCCCGCGUUGUAUUAGCUAGUUGGUGAGGUAAAGGCUCACCAAGGCGAUGAUACAUAGCCGACCUGAGAGGGUGAUCGGCCACAUUGGGACUGAGACACGGCCCAAACGCCUACGGGAGGCAGCAGUAGGGAAUCUUCGGCAAUGGACGAAAGUCUGACCGAGCAACGCCGCGUGAGUGAAGAAGGGUUUCGGAUCGUAAAACUCUGUUGGUAGAGAAGAACGUUGGUGAGAGUGGAAAGCUCAUCAAGUGACGGUAACUACCCAGAAAGGGACGGCUAACUACGUG